GACAAGACAUUUAUUACUUGACCAUACAUAGUACAUACAUACACAUGAUUUUCACACAAACAGGGUUAAGCAAUAAGAUGUGCCAGUAAGGCUAAUGAUACCCUGUGACAAUAUGACAAGACAACUCAGUUUAUGAAGAAAAAGAAAAUUUCUGAGCAUUUCUUUUAAUCAAGGUGCAAUUCCCAUCAUAAUAACACUAAAUCUUUUUUUUUUUUAUGAUUUUAUACGAAAUGCAAAGAAAUGACAAUUGUUUUUCUCCAUAGUAUACUGAUUUUCACACUGAAAUACAAUUUCAAAAUAUUUUUAUUAUGGUUUUUAUACAUUUAUCAUUAAAAUGUGGAAUGUACAUAGGAUUUCAAAGACAUUGUAUAAGCACAAAAGUAUAAUAAGUAAAACAUCAAUCUUAAUAGACACUUAGUUUCUUUAUAUGAAAGUUGCCCCCUAAUCAAUUGCCUUUCUUUAGAUACAAAUUACAAAAUAUAUUACCAAGCACUAUUUCCUUUCAAAAUAUGAUUCAGGCGUUUGAUUAUUCGGUAAUAAAAAAUUUAUCGGAAGGAAAAUUUUACCCUAAAAAGUCUUAAAUAUAGUAGAGGUAAAGAUUUGAUAAAUUAUUUUUGUCUGCUAGAAGGCUGUCUUUACAGACAAAGCUAUUGCAGCACAAGUCAGGCCUUGCUUCAACUGAUUAUAAAUGAUAUUUUUCUCUUUAUUUGUAUAAUAGUGGAAAUUUCAUCAAAUUUAACAAAAAUUAAGGUCAAUAGAUAUGAGGAGGAUGUAUAUAUAGAAAUAUAUUUUCUAAAACAAAAAAAAUAUGUUUAAACAUUUUUAAAAACAUGAAAUAUAAAAAAAUAUAAAUGAAUGAAUGGGAUAUCUCACAUUCAAGGGAAAAAAACAAAAUGUGUAAUAAAUUAUGCCAACAAAAUAACUUAAACCAAAAUAUACAUCAAAAUAAUGACAAACACAACAACACACAACCAAUAUUAUACCUCUAGUUAAGACAAACCCUGAGUUUAUAUGCCAUAACAGAAUUAAACCCUCAUCUAAACUGAACAAUGAACCAUAUUCAAUUAGCUCACUGUGUCACAUGUCCAAUUUCACUGAACAAAAUAAUGCUUUUUUGACUGUAGUACUUGAGGUUCAAGGACACAUUAAAGUAGAUUUAUCUUGAAAUUUAAAGCUUAACCAUGCACACUAAAAUAUUUGUCAAGAGAGUGCAGAAGCUAACUAAAGUUGGUUAAAAAAAGAUGUCGACUUUCAAUUACUGUCUUAUCGACGUGGCCCACAUCACUAAUUAUUAUUUCAACUAUUUAAAAUCAAAAAUCAGUUUCCAGUGAGGUAUUUUGGAUGCAUAAUCAAUUAUUGAAGAAUAUAGAUGUAUCAUUAUUGCUUGUUGAGACCAUGUUACCCAUAAUGUCAUUUUAUUGUAUUAGUCAAAGAGCAACCUAUUUCUGAUGGAUGAACACUGAACCUAUGGUAAAAAUUUCAUAACAAACCAACUGGAAAUGUAAGUUUAAUGCAAAUUUAUAUAUAAUUAAUAUUUCCAAGGGGCUUAACUCUUUAAACAGUUAAUCUUAGAAGAAAGUCUAACCCAAUUCAAUUGUUUGGAGGUUAUCUAUUCAGUAAAAAAGGACAAGAUUAUAUUCUCAUGAAAUGAGACAAUUACACACACAACAAGCAUUCAUAAACCAGAGGUAUACUAACACUACAUAUAAAUAAAAAAAAAAAAAAUAUAUAAAUUCUUAAUAUAGUUUGAUUGUCAGAUUUUGGACGGUUCAAAAAGUCCAUGCAACAAAAACAAUUGCUGGUCUUUUUGGACGGUUGAUAUAUAUUUCCCAACAUCAGAAAAUUUUCCAAACUUAAAAUAGCACCUUAACAAUGGACUAGACAAUAAUCUUAACACCUUAAUACUAUAAAACAAAUCUGUGAUGAAUAGCUAAACUCAAUUCUGACAUUAUUUGUGUAAAACAUAUCUACACUGUAUGGGAGUGACAUUGGAUAGUGGUUCUAGCUGAAGCAGAGGUUGUAAAUGCAGGCUGCCAUACACAUCAAUGAAUUAGUUGUCAUACACUGUCAAAACUCAGUAUUUGUGAUUCACUUUUAAAACAAAAUUCUUGAAAAUUAUGGUCUGGUGUUGUAAUAGUAGGUCAUAAUUGAAUAUAGCUUGAGAUAUCCACUCAACAACUCUUUUUUUUUAAACUAAAGUAAUCAAUAACUCUUUUUUCCUGUAUGAGAUGGUAGUUUUUUUAAUCUUCUUUAAAGUUAUGAUAAACGAGUGACCAGUGAAAAAUAAUGUUAUUCCAAUUCUUGAACCAAUGCAUACAAACAUCAUAAACUUAAGUCUUCUGUACACGAUUUUAUCAUUUUUUUUUUGCAUAAAUUUCAUAUAAUUGUCAAAUUUUUUUUCAAUCGGUCAGUGUUGUUGUGAAAAUAUGGCAGGUAAUUAAAGUUCGUGUUUUGAAGCCAAAGUUUAACGAUUGUCACCUGUUUGUCAACAACAACAAAAAAGCAUGGAUAUUGAGCACAUGUUUAACAUGUACAAUCAGAUAAAAAGUUUAUUUUAAGGUCAUCCAUGCAGAUUUUUACUAGAUGGGUCACACUGAGGUCACUUUGCAUACGGAAAAUAUGUCAGGGAAUUGCUUCCUAGAAAAGAAGCAAUUAAAAUAAAGUAGAUUUCUUCUAAAUAAGAACAAAUUAAAGAAUUUUCUUUAGAAAAAAAUAUAUGUAGAAAGUUUAAUAAUGAAAACUAUCCAUUGAGUUAUAAAAAAAACAUAUGCAUUAUUUUUUUUAAUUUGAGGUUUCUUAUGACCAACAUUCCUAGACUUUUUUGGAAACAGGUCAAUUCCCAACAUAUAAUAAUAAAAUUUAAUAUCUAAUUUUCCACUAAAAAAUUUUACAACCUCUCUCCGUGUCAGCUAGAACCAAUAUCCAGUGUAGCUGCCAUGCAGUGGUCUAUAUUCAUAAUAAUUGUCAAUAACUAUACAUAAUACAAUCUUAAUUAAGUCUACUGUUACAUUCCAUCAUUUUUUUUUUCUACAUUUUUUUUCUUCAAAUUUUUCAUAUAUUUUAAUGUUACAACACACUAUGAGCAUUUGUAAUGCAUUUAUUUGAAAUCUCAAAAAUAAAAAGAUGACACUGAUACCAAACAAUACAUACAUCAAACAAUCAUAUCAUACAAAAGUACAAAGUUUCUGUAAAUUUACAUGUUAUACAAGGCACUUCUCCAUUAUGCAUAGAAUCAUAUAAUGUACAUAACAAUUUUUAAAGCAUUGUAAUGAACGUACAAAAAUGGGAAUGAUCUUGUAAGACACAAAAAUGACAAUCAAGAAGAGUUAUAUAAAUAUACAAGUUCUUUUCAAAACUGAUGAACCCAUGACAAAAUGAAACAUACUGCCUGCAAAAACAAUACCUUCUAAAAUUCAGAAUUUACUUUAGACAAGUUUUUGAUUAUUUUUCCUUUCACUCAUUCCAAUAGGGAAGAUAAAUAAGAAUUUU
RNAcentral lists this long non-coding RNA (3489 nucleotides) under Mytilus galloprovincialis (Mediterranean mussel). The record is from RNAcentral. Lineage: Eukaryota; Metazoa; Mollusca; Bivalvia; Mytilida; Mytilidae.